UCCGUAGGCGGGCAGCUCAGUCAGUGGUGAAAGUUUGCAGCUCAACUGUAAAAUUGCCAUUGAUACUGGUUGUCUUGAAUUAAUGUGAAGUGGUUAGAAUAAGUAGUGUAGCGGUGAAAUGCAUAGAUAUUACUUAGAAUACCAAUUGCGAAGGCAGAUCACUAACAUUAUAUUGACGCUGAUGGACGAAAGCGUGGGGAGCGAACAGGAUUAGAUACCCUGGUAGUCC
RNAcentral lists this ribosomal RNA (229 nucleotides) under uncultured bacterium. Its description in RNAcentral is "partial 16S ribosomal RNA". It matches the Rfam family "Bacterial small subunit ribosomal RNA", at positions 568 to 796 of the family's 1533-position model. The record is from RNAcentral.